RNAcentral lists this ribosomal RNA (482 nucleotides) under uncultured bacterium. RNAcentral's name for it is "bacterial SSU rRNA". It matches the Rfam family "Bacterial small subunit ribosomal RNA", at positions 30 to 506 of the family's 1533-position model. The record is from RNAcentral.
UUGAACGCUGGCGGCAUGCCUUACACAUGCAAGUCGAACGGUAACAGGGAGCUUGCUCCGCUGACGAGUGGCGAACGGGUGAGUAAUGUAUCGGAACGUACCAUUCAGUGGGGGAUAACGUAGCGAAAGUUACGCUAAUACCGCAUAUUCUGUGAGCAGGAAAGCAGGGGAUCGCAAGACCUUGCGCUGAUUGAGCGGCCGAUAUCAGAUUAGCUAGUUGGUGAGGUAAAAGCUCACCAAGGCGACGAUCUGUAGCGGGUCUGAGAGGAUGAUCCGCCACACUGGAACUGAGACACGGUCCAGACUCCUACGGGAGGCAGCAGUGGGGAAUUUUGGACAAUGGGGGCAACCCUGAUCCAGCCAUGCCGCGUGAGUGAAGAAGGCCUUCGGGUUGUAAAGCUCUUUCAGCAGGAACGAAACGGUCGGCUUUAAUAAAGUCGGCUAAUGACGGUACCUGCAGAAGAAGCACCGGCUAACUACGU